UUUUCUUCAUUCAUUCAUUUGUUCCUUUGUUCUUUCAUUUGUUUAUUCAUUUUUUCCCUCCCUCCUUCCUUCCUUCCUUCCUUCCUUCCUUCCUUCCUUCCUUCCUUCCUUCCUUCCUUCCUUCCUUCCUUCCUUCCUUCCUUCCUUCCUUCCUUCCUUCCUUCCUUCCUUCCUUCCUUCCUUCCUUCCUUCCUUCCUUCCUUUCUUUCUUUCUUUCUUUCUUUCUUCCUUCCUUCCUUCCUCUCUUUCUCUCUCUUUCUCUCUCUCUCUCUCUUUCUUUCUUUCUUUCUUUCUUUCUCUCAGUUCUCUCUCUCUCUCUUUCUUUCUUUCUUUCUUUCUUUCUUUCUUUCUUUCUUUCUUUCUUUCUUUCUUUCUUUCUUUCUUUCUUUCUUUCUUUCUUUCUUUCUCUCUUAGUGCCUGGCACAGGGCUGAAUAAAUACUA
RNAcentral lists this long non-coding RNA (442 nucleotides) under Monodelphis domestica (gray short-tailed opossum). Its description in RNAcentral is "lncRNA (ENSMODG00000028451.2)". Lineage: Eukaryota; Metazoa; Chordata; Mammalia; Didelphimorphia; Didelphidae. The record is from RNAcentral.